Orcinus orca (killer whale) is the source of this 2513-nucleotide long non-coding RNA. RefSeq lists it as uncharacterized. NCBI's taxonomy places the organism in Eukaryota, Metazoa, Chordata, Mammalia, Artiodactyla, Delphinidae. The record is from RefSeq and is a predicted model, not a curated record. The transcript is spliced from 8 exons.
CGGGGCGGGGAGAUGCUCGGGUUAAAGCGGCGAUGCCGACCCGGCCGGAGCUCUGGCGGCUGGUUUAAAGCGGCUCUGCCGGAGGCCGGUACCCGGGAGUCCUUCAACAUGUUAAUUCACGUGGCAAAUAUUUACUGCCCAGCUGUAUUCUAGUGGGGACAGAGACGGUGAACAGAUGCAUGAAGAACGGUAAGAAAGCGGACGGGAAAUAGGAGAUUUCUAUUUAACGGAGAACGUUGCAUCCUUUCUCCUUACAGAGAAUUCAGGUCAGUGCCCGCGAUGGGCCAGGGUGUGUACUGGGCAGCGGAGACACGAUGGAUAAUAAACAGGACACACGAAGAGACCUCAUGCGCCUUCCGAGCUGACAGGAGAGACAGAAAGAGCAGCACGGAUGUACAGGGGUGAGAGGAACUGCGCGUGCUCAUCUCUGAAAUAUAGCUCCAUAAAAAAGCAAUGACUCGGCCAUAAAAAAGAAUGAAAUCACGCCAUUUGCAGCAACAUGGAUGCAACUAGAGAUUCUCAUACUACGUGAAAUUGCUCACUGUGGGGGACAGCAGCCACCAUGUCACAAAGACACUCAAGAAGCCCUGUGUAGCCACCUGGAUGGAGAGGACCUGAGGCCUCCCAUCAACAGCCAGCACCCACUUGCCAGUUGUGUAGAAUUAUCUGGAACAGAGCCCUGCUGAUCUGGUGGCGGACGCACGUUCUUAAUUCUGCUAGGAAAAAAAAAUUUCAGGAAACCCUGGAUGGCUCCAGGCAAGUUCCUGCCAUUGAGUAACAGAGAGGCGGAAGUGAAAACAUUCUCCCAUUGGGUUUGCCCAACAGUGAAACCACGAGGGACUGAGAGACUUAAGAAGAGGGGAGGAGCCACGGCUCAGCGCCCAGAUGUUAAGUGCACGACCCGCCAAGCUAUCAGGAGACCACAUAGUAGAAAGACCAGUGGUGACUACCCUGCCAUGAAUUCACUUGACAAGCAUCCAUCUUUCCUGGCAUUAGUUUUCUCGUCUAUAAAAUGAGUUUCUUUCAGCGCUCAGGUUGUAGUACUUGUGGUGCAGACGGGAGGCCUUUGUUCCAAUACCUGAUCAGACCUGGUCAGACCUGCCAACAGAUAAUAAACAACUCUACAGAUACAAGUGUACAACAGAGACGAUGAGAAUUCUGAGCCUUGUUUGUGGCAAUUCUACCAGAAGGGGACUGCAUGGCACCACCACAAGAUUUCGUAAAUUACCCUGAACAUACUCAGUUAUUCACUAUUUGUUUGGAGCAAAGCAUGAAAGAGUCUUCAAACACAUGAAUGACAGAUUUUGAGAGAGUGACUCUUUUUUGAAACAUAAAGUGCAACAGUGCUGAAGUUUUCAGUUUUUGUUAGUUCUUCAUUUUUUUUUUUUUUUUGUCUGUUUAGAUGCCAUUUCCUGCAAGCAGUAUUAUGGCACAGUGAAUAUAAUGGAAAGCAGUUUUCCAACACAUAUCCCAGAUCUUUGCUUUCUUAUUUAUUUGAUGAUGUCGUUAAAGGUUUAACAAAUCCUUCUUCAUAAACUUUCAAAAUAGCUUCACAUACAAAUCUGUAUUGACUCUGAAAAAUAAAAUAUAAAAAAAUAGAACGGAUCAGAAAAACUAGAAAACAAACAAAGACAGACAAACAUCUCACUUGGCUUGCUUAUACAAGAAAUACAAAGUAAGACUGCACAGAGAUACCACUUUUCACCAAGAGACUGGCAAACAAAGUUUGACAGCAUAUUCUGUCGGCAAAACCCACUCAUACAUUGCUAGUAGGAAUGUGUAUACCACAAUCCCUAUGGAUGGACAGUUGGCCUCGUCUGACAAAAUUACAUUGAUUUACCUAUUGACCCAGCAAUUCCACUUCUAGGAAUCUAUCCAGAAGACAAACUAGAAAAAGAAAUUAAAAUAUUUAUUCAGAAAUGAGGCUAUUCACUGCGGAAUUACUUAUAAUGACAAAAAAGUAGAAACAAUUCAAAUCGUCAUCAGUAAGGGACUGGAGAACCAGCAUUCUUGUUAAAGAAGAAAAGGGACAAAGAUGUAAGCAGAAAAUGGUAAGUGAAAACACUGUGGUCUGAGUCUGUAUUGGAAGCCCUGAAACAGAGCAGGGCCCUAUGGUCUAUGCCCCCCAUGUCCUCAGCCUGCCUUUUGUCUGUGGAAAAAUUUUAGCCAAAGAGUAACUUUAAUCAGAGAAAUGAGAAAAUGCAGAAACAAUGGAAAACAGUCAAAGGCGACUGGAUAAUACUAUAGUCAUUAAGCAGAGUCAAGGACCUUUAGUUCCUCCUCAAGGGCUGUAGAUAAUAUUCUAAGCCGUAUCCUGUGAGCUGUCUUAUAGAUACUGAAACCCCCGCCAGGUGGAAGAAGUGAACUACAUGAUGACCAGGCUGUAGCCAUGACAUAAGCUGCCACAAUUCCGAGAACUGGCCCCAAGGAAAUGGGAACGAACCAACCCUGGAGAGGCCAAUGAACCAACUCAUUAUAUUGAAAACUUAUAAAUAAAGGGAAAGCAUCAAGUG